GAUGAACGCUAGCGGGAGGCUUAAUACAUGCAAGUCGAGGGGUAACAUGGAUCUUCGGAUCUGAUGACGACCGGCGCACGGGUGAGUAACGCGUACACGACCUACCUUCAAGAGGGGAGCAGGCUCGGGAAACUGAGAUUAAUACCCCAUGUGAUUGUUUUUUCUAAAUGUAGACAAUUAAAGAUCCGUCGCUUGAAGAUGGGUGUGCGUACUAUUAGGUAGUUGGUAGGGUAACGGCCUACCAAGCCGACGAUAGUUAGGGGGCGUGAGAGCGUGACCCCCCACACGGGUACUGAGACACGGACCCGACUCCUACGGGAGGCAGCAGUAAGGAAUAUUGGACAAUGGGCGCAAGCCUGAUCCAGCCAUCCCGCGUGUAGGAUGACUGCCCUAUGGGUUGUAAACUACUUUUGUAAGGGAAGAAACGCCUGGUUUUAACUGGGCCUGACGGUACCUUAAGAAUAAGCACCGGCUAACUCCG
This 481-nucleotide ribosomal RNA is filed under the name uncultured Saprospiraceae bacterium. RNAcentral describes it as "bacterial SSU rRNA". It matches the Rfam family "Bacterial small subunit ribosomal RNA", at positions 28 to 505 of the family's 1533-position model. The record is from RNAcentral. Lineage: Bacteria; Pseudomonadati; Bacteroidota; Saprospiria; Saprospirales; Saprospiraceae.